CCCAGCACCGCCGCUGCAGAGACCCCGGUUAAGGCCGCCCUGCCACCGAAGUCUGUGAAGACCGAGCAGAGCGAACCGAAAAAGAAGAACAAGAAGAAAGCAGCCGAGAAGCAGAAGGCCCAGGCGAAUGGACAGACAGUGGCUGAACCUCAGGAGGACAUCAAAGUCAUCGAGGAGAAAAAGAAGAAACCUCCUCCUGCAGCUGCGCCUGCGCCUGCACAGCCACCUGCUGAUACAAAGACCAAGAAAAACAAGAAGAAACCAAAACCAGAGGUGAAGCCAAAACAAGAUGUUUCCUCCACUGGUGGCAAGGAACCUGAU
This is a long non-coding RNA of Sinocyclocheilus grahami, 321 nucleotides long. RefSeq lists it as uncharacterized. The transcript has 3 exons. The record is from RefSeq and is a predicted model, not a curated record. NCBI's taxonomy places the organism in Eukaryota, Metazoa, Chordata, Actinopteri, Cypriniformes, Cyprinidae.